GGGCGGAUGGCGGAAUAGCAUACGCGAUAGCCUUAGGAGCUAUUGGGGAAACCCUUGGAGGUGCAAAUCCUCUUCCGCCCA
This is a non-coding RNA of Omnitrophica WOR_2 bacterium, 81 nucleotides long. Lineage: Bacteria; Pseudomonadati; Candidatus Omnitrophota. The record is from Rfam.